This is a long non-coding RNA of Nerophis ophidion (straightnose pipefish), 188 nucleotides long. RefSeq lists it as uncharacterized. The transcript has 3 exons. The record is from RefSeq and is a predicted model, not a curated record. NCBI's taxonomy places the organism in Eukaryota, Metazoa, Chordata, Actinopteri, Syngnathiformes, Syngnathidae.
CAGGAAGUCAGUUAUGAGACAAAAGAGAAGCAGACAUGUCCAGUUAGCUCGUGCAAGCCUUGGAAAAGAUAAUUCUGUGCUGUUCUCCCAGGAGCUUCUUCCACGCUCGAACCCUGCAAGAUGGAGGUCAACAAGCACUUUUGGAACAGCGAACACCCUGCACUGCUGACGGUUAGGAGUCGGAGUUU